GGCGGCAUGCCUUACACAUGCAAGUCGAACGGCAGCGCGGGGCAACCUGGCGGCGAGUGGCGAACGGGUGAGUAAUAUAUCGGAACGUACCCUGGAGUGGGGGAUAACGUAGCGAAAGUUACGCUAAUACCGCAUACGAUCUAAGGAUGAAAGUGGGGGAUUCGCAAGAACCUCAUGCUCCUGGAGCGGCCGAUAUCUGAUUAGCUAGUUGGUGGGGUAAAGGCCUACCAAGGCAUCGAUCAGUAGCUGGUCUGAGAGGACGACCAGCCACACUGGAACUGAGACACGGUCCAGACUCCUACGGGAGGCAGCAGUGGGGAAUUUUGGACAAUGGGCGCAAGCCUGAUCCAGCAAUGCCGCGUGAGUGAAGAAGGCCUUCGGGUUGUAAAGCUCUUUUGUCAGGGAAGAAACGGUGAUUUCUAAUACAGAUUGCUAAUGACGGUACCUGAAGAAUAAGCACCGGCUAACUACGUGCCAGCAGCCGCGGUAAUACGUAGGGUGCAAGCGUUAAUCGGAAUUACUGGGCGU
RNAcentral lists this ribosomal RNA (528 nucleotides) under uncultured beta proteobacterium. RNAcentral describes it as "bacterial SSU rRNA". It matches the Rfam family "Bacterial small subunit ribosomal RNA", at positions 38 to 561 of the family's 1533-position model. Lineage: Bacteria; Pseudomonadati; Pseudomonadota; Betaproteobacteria. The record is from RNAcentral.